Long non-coding RNA from Hippocampus comes (tiger tail seahorse), 1629 nucleotides. RefSeq lists it as uncharacterized. NCBI's taxonomy places the organism in Eukaryota, Metazoa, Chordata, Actinopteri, Syngnathiformes, Syngnathidae. The record is from RefSeq and is a predicted model, not a curated record. The transcript has 3 exons.
GGGGGGGGUCAGACCCUGUUUGUACAUGUUUAAGUUUGACCAGGGUGAAAAUGUGAUGGCAAUCAGCAACAAUGUCCACCAACUUGGAGGACGUUGAAUUAUUUUGAGCACAUUUUAUUGUGUGUGUGUGUUUUUCAUUUUUGUUUUUUGUUUGUUUUGUUUUUUUGAUUGGAAGAAAGACGCAAAUACACACUAGACUGUUGCGAUGAAAGAUUUAUGUUGGCUGCUCGUGACCAAAUCCAAACGACUCCUGACUGUAGUGACCAAAGUGUCCUUUGUCCACUUUUACUGCACUUUUUUUUCAAAGCCAUCACAGUGAAUGCUUCUUUUAGAUGGGGUGGGGGAUGCUCGAGCCACUUUGGGGGUCUUGACUUUAAAGGUUCCUGACAAUGCAGUUCUCCAUUUCCCAUGUACAUGUUUGUGUCUUUAUGCCAUCUAAAUUGUGAUGUUGUCGCCUUAACACUGUUUUGUCCAUUCCUUUGGAUUUAUUUACAUUUAUGGCUACAUCUCAAUAAAGUCAUUUAUUUAGUUUAAAAAAAAAAAAGGUGAAACAGCCAUUACUGUAUAUAGAUUCACUUGAUGCGAAGAGGGUUUUUUUUCCUGAUUUUAUUGUUUUUAAUUUUGAAGAUUAUUGUUUUGAAAACCCCAAAUUCUGCAUCAUUUUUAAUGUCGAGGUUAAGAAUUGGCCUUCUGAAAAUUCUGUGUCCUCUGUGUUUAAUGAAUUUGCAUUAUGAGUGUGACAGGAGUUCAGCUACUUAAAGGGACGUUUCUACCAUAUGAAUAGUUGAAAUGCACCUGCAAAUGGUCACUUAUUGAUAGGUGGCUCGCUUGAAUGUAAAUUUGCCCUCCAAAAAAUGCCCCCCUUAACAGCCCAUCCCCCUUCCUUGGUUAUGUCUUAUGUCGAUUCAGAAUUUUCACUUCAGACUGGCUUUGUUUCAGUUGCGCACUGGGCCACUCUUCACUGUCAUCUCUUUGGAUACAAUAAAAAGCACGACAGUAACUGGUAGUCGUUUAUUGACUAGAGCGCGGGAUGUUAAUCCUGUUUUGUUUCAUAACGGCGACAACACAAAUUUGUAAUCGGCACGACCCGGAAUAACGGCACUCAACACGAUCGCGGUUCGGUAUGUACGGUACUUGGGUUUCAAGGUCGUGGUUUGGUUUAAAUUGGGUAGAGUAAGCGAACAAAAUGCUCUUAUUUUGCGUAAACUGGAAUCAUCAACAGCUUGAUUUUUUGGGGGGAGGGCUGGGUGGUGGAGAGGGUACAUCAUCAAUGGGCUGUCUUGUCAAAUGCAACUAUCAAAUAUUUCAUGUAUAAAAGUUUAGGGAACACUGAUAGUCUGUCUCCUUUUUAGGAAUCGAAGGCCGCAGUCUCACUUUGAACAGUGAAUUAUGCUACACAAACACUAAUAAGGAGGGCCGCCGGCAAGACUUGUCGCUGCGCCGCAGCUUCGACGGACCGUCAAUAUGUGUCCUUACACAAAAGCCAUCCAUGGUGCAAAAGAGAUUGGGCACUGGACUGCUGCCCGAGAGAACUGUGCUAAGAGAAAACACCAAUGAAUCCAGAAAGAAAAGCCUUGUUCGGGACACUCUGGUAUUUUGUCUCUCGUCUGACCCUCUUGUUGAGACAUA